Betta splendens (Siamese fighting fish) is the source of this 5058-nucleotide long non-coding RNA. RefSeq lists it as uncharacterized. The record is from RefSeq and is a predicted model, not a curated record. Lineage: Eukaryota; Metazoa; Chordata; Actinopteri; Anabantiformes; Osphronemidae. The transcript is spliced from 2 exons.
UUUUUUUUUCUUACAGACAGAACAAAUAAUAAUAAGGACUGAUGUUUCGUUUAUUGAUGUCAGGCCAAACUACUAAAACUGAAGCUUAACAUUCCUGCCAGUACACCUGAUGGGCAGAUGAAGCCUUAUGAUACUUUGAGGUUUCAAAUGAAGACAACUAACACAUAGCUGCUUGUUUAAAGCAGUUUGCAAUGACAUAGGACAUUUGUCACGGUCAGAAAAGACCCCACAGGUUGUUGUUCUUCAAAAUCUUUAACAUAAAAAGCUGUAAUAUUUAUAUUUCAUGCAUUCUUCAUAAAACAUGGUUGUGACAUGAGGCAAUUUGAAUUAGUUCAGUUUUAUUUAUAUAGUGCCAAAUCACAACAAAACAAUUUCAAGGCACUUUACAAGAUAAGGCUUAGCACCUUGCAUAACUAAACCCAACAAAUCCCACAUUAGAGAUGGGAAUUUUGGUUCUUUUAACUGACUUGGAUCUUUAACUCAACUCACUCUUCAAAUCAUUUUGAGUCAUUCAUUCAUUUUGUUCAUUUACAGCAGGCGGCGCUGUGGCCGUAAUAAUGGUCGUGGUUCCUACAUUCACACAAAGGACAGCAUGGUGAUAAGUUGAAGUCCCUUUGUUGUACUUGAGGAAUUUCCUGGCACAUCUUUAGAUCAGGCAUUAAACAUCACACAGAAACCAAUCUACUAUGAAAUCAUAACAUUAACACAGAAUUCAAUGGCAUCAGUUUCAUGGAAGUUGGAAGUUCUGGUGCAUCUGAACCAGAACUUAAGAAAAACUUAAACUUGUUGUUUAACAACUUGUGUCCAAAUAAAGUUUCUUGGUCUCUUAAGGAGCACAUUUCACAUUUUAUGGCUGGUGGUCCCAGUUCUGGGAGAGACAGCUUCUCAGUGAUAAAUGUGACAGUCUGUCCUUUUGGCAUGAUAAGCAGAGGUGGAAUCCUAUGAGAUUUACAGGUAGAUCAACAAAGUGGGCUCAUGGUUCUUUGAUAUGGACAGGGAGAUAUUGGUGCCUGUUGUAAUAGAAGCCAGUCUUCUGUGGUGGAGAAAAAUUCAGGGUUCUUUAUCUCUGGGGACUGGAAAGGACGUAGAGGCUCUUCAAUGAGGGAGUUAAGUUCACAUGUAGGUCAGGUUAUCUCAGUCCAGACGUGGAUUGCUACAACAAUCAACAAAUUAUAAUCACAAAAUGCUACAAGCAAUUACACCACAUUAAUGUGACUUAUGUCCUCCAUCUUCCCUGUUGUUUAACAGCGUGAUAGUCGCUUGGUAGCGAUCACAAGGUAAAAGAACGAACGAACCAUCUGUAAAGAUCCGUAUGAACGUGCGCUUGCUGCUCGCUACAGAAACUGCACUCUGAACGAACAACGAUCCAUAUGAACGAAUCCCAAAAGAACUGUAGCGCUUGGUGCUCGCCACAGAGCCUGAGCUAUGAACGAGAUUAAUGAACUAAUCUGCGCAGCCCGAGCUGACUUUUACGUGGCAGCUGGUAGUGAACAGGUAAAAGUACAACUUAUUUUGACAAUUAGUGAGACUUUUAAAGCAAAAGGUAACAACAUAUUGAAAUUUAAAAAGUAUACUAAAUGUAUCUGGUGCAUUUAUCUUCCAAAAAUGUGACAUUAUCAUUAUUAUUAUUAUAUUUUAAUAAUAAUAUAAUUUAAUAAUAAUUUUAAUAAUUAUUAUAUUUAACAAUAAUAAUAAUAAUGAUGAUGAUUGUGCCAGAGUAUACAGGACCACAAAAUCAACAUGUUGAUAUGUUCGAAAGUAUUGAUUUACUGUACAAACACACUUUACAUUAUAUACACAAUAAAACUACACACCUACAAGAAUCAAAGACCUCCAAUUAUGAUUCCAUGAAGAAAUAUUGAUGUCGGGUGACAAAUAAAUAAACAUCAGAAAUCAGCAAAUGCACAGUGAAUGCUUCCACGCUGAAUGUAUUGCUGAAGAAUUGCUGAAAUUAGUUUAAGCAUUGAAAACAGCUGGAAUUGGAUGCAUAGCUGAAUAUCUGUUUUGCAUAUAUUAAUACCUAAAUGCAAAACAUAAAACAUUUUUCAUUUUUACUGCUGCCUUAAUUAGAACCUAAACCAGAGUCCUCAGGGUUGAAGUCAAACCCUUAACUGCUCAGCCAUAGUAACUGCUGAGAGCACUUCUCUAAGCAGCAGUGUACAUACUAUUUUAAGAACUAAAAAAUUCCUAAUGUUGUUGAAGGAUCUAUAUUAUAGCUGUACAUUGAUGAUAUAUUAAACAUACAAGUUAAUUUAUGUGAAGGAGAUCCAAAUAUUUAUAUUAAGCGGUGUAUGCAUAGAAAUGACAGACAGGAAUCAAACCAUGGUCUCCCACUCGAGUGAAGGAUUAAUGCCAUUGAGCUACAGGAUAUAAGAGCCAAGAGAGGACAAACCUUUGUCUAGAUGGGUAAAUAGUGUUGUAAAAACUUAAAAGUAUUAACAUUUUAAAUGUGUUUAUUAGACAAAAAGCUAAAUGCUGUAACAAUUCAAAAGUUGCAGAUCUAAUGUAAAACUGUAUAUGCUAAUGAAAAAUCAUACAUUGAAUAUUCCAAGGCUCACUCCUUAUCACCAGUUUCUGUUAGGGUGCAUCACCCAUAAUGCAUUGCACUCUAAAUUUGCAUAUAAUGCUGUAAUGUUUGAUUUAUUCAUCAAAAAAUACUAAAACAUUAAAAUAAAUAGCUGAAAGUGGUUUAUGAACUAAAAGUAUAGCUGUAUAUAUUUAUCUAAAAAAGUAUAAAGCUGAGCAUCUUUAAAGGGCCCAUAUCAUGCAAAAUCCACUUUUUAGACAUUUUGGAGCGUUCCUAUGACUCUAUGGGUCACAUAUACACACACUGAGCACGGUAGAAAUGCAUUUCCUGCUUUUUUCACAUUUUGAAAACGUAAAUUUUCUUAUCCAAUGAAAACAGCCACGACCUACUCUGAGGCCGUUCCCCAGUUCUCGUCACACUGGUUGAAAGUUCUCCUUGCAAAUCCUGAACCACCACCCCCACAAUGAUCCCGAACCAAAACUGGACUUCCGCCAUUUCCCCCCUCUCACUCACCGUGAACAGACCAGCACGGCAGCGCCCAAGUCCUCCCAUAGAAAUAGUUCGGUUAUUGGGUGUUCUAACCAACACCAAAGUCUAUUCACUUUACCAAGGGAUCAACAAGUGAGGAUUUGUGGGUCACUUUUAUUUUUAACGGACCGGUGCCAGAAACACUGCCUCAGCAUUUAUACGUAUGUGCAUUUCAAACGAGGGUGCGUACAAUGCUGGAUUUGUUUCACGGCUCCUGUUGGAAAAAAAGGACCUAUUCCUAAAGUCCGUCAUCCACUCACUGAAGAGGGCAAAUCCCAGUUGCCCACAUGCAAGGAGGCUGUCAAACAGAGAAAUCACUGCAGACUGUUGGUACACAGACAUCUGCUGCCCAGCUCAGGAGUAAAGGUAUGUAAGUUUGUAUGUACCAACAGUAAGAUAGGUAAUAGAAGAUUUUAAUUGGUAUAUACUGUUUAGAUUUUAUAUUUGAAUUGUAACAACUGUUUAUCUGUUGUUUUAGCACAGACAGGCCUGUCCUCUUGUUUGGUUUAAUUUUUUGUCUGGUAUUGUGUGUUCUUACAUUAGAGAAGGUUUUGACCUACAUAAUAAUUAACAUUUCACUAAUCUACAAUUCUGAUUGCACUACCUUUUGUUUUGAUGAGGUGAUGGUGAGGACAGCCACAGCUUCCAUCUGGUAGAGGACUGCUUCCGCUCAGUCUUCCAAAUAGUGAUGAGAACAAGGAUCACCACAUCUCCCUGUUUACCCUACUUUCAUGCAUUUCGUCUGCAAGGCCCUGCAAAAGCUUCUCCUUCGUCCUCAAACCCCCAGACUUCUUAAUUAACUCAGUAACCUAUACAUUGCACAUUGGAGUGUGAAGGUAACAGUUUGUUCUAGCUUUGGCGUAGUGGUGUAUUUUUUUGGUUUAUAAUAAAGUUGGCUUUAACUAUUAUGUAUUUCACUGAACUCUGUUUCUGAAGGGAAAACACUUUUAUUUAGGAAAUCAUAGUAUUGAAAUUACAUGUUUUUCUCUUUCUAAUAUGGUAAGCUAUAAAGUUGAAGCGGCCAUAAAUAAAACGCAUAUAAAUUAUAUAUAAAUAAAGUUAAAAAAAUUCUUAAUGAGUGUUGCACUCACAAAAAACACAUUUUUACUCAAACGGUAAAGGAGUUAUUCUACAGGUGGUCUACAUCAAUCAUACUAUGAGUGUUUUAGUGUUUUAUCCAUCAGGAAACUGCCUUCAUCUACAACCCAAGCAUGAAGAGAUGGCAACUCAGAUUCUUCACCCCAGGAAUCCUCAGCACCAGCUCACUAGCCUCUGUAGACUAGAUACCUGUAACAACUUUAGAUACAGAGACAUAUUACUGUCAAAUUUAUCAUGAAUGACAAAAAACAUAAUUAAAAGCAGUAAAAAUACGUUAGGUCAAUAUAUAAUUUGAACCAAUGCUUUUUGUUCCCAGGUAGGUCAUGCAGUGAUUGCUCUAAAUAUUAAUGCACAUUUUUUAAAUAAAAUUGUCAGAGCAGCAGCACAAGUAAGACAAAAACAGUGAAAUGUGUAAAUGUAAAAUGUAUUUAUAUUAUUUCAGCUAUGCUCUCAAACUUAUUUAUUUGUAUAAUGUGAGCUAAAGUAGUGUUUUCUAUUAGUGAGAGUUUUCCAGGUAAGUCGUGUUGUGAAUAUUGAAGCUGCACACGCCAUUUAGCAUUCGCAUUAGCAACCGCUAGUCGCUUUGCAAAUUACAUAAAUCAAUUAAAUUGAAGUAAAUGCGACAUUACCAAUGAGACACAUCUUGCAUCAGCCGAAAUGUGGUGACUUCAACAGCCUCCUCUUCAGCUUCAGGGUCAGAUUCGGGAUCGUAGACGUAUGGUUCUACUACGCUAUGAACCAGCUGACUAAUGUCGUGCAGUUCUGUAGUGGGUCGUCUUCUUCUGUGGUGGAUUGCAUUCUCAAUGUCGCACUACUGCCACCUAUUGUAUCCUAACCGUGCGGUGGCUCGUAUCCAUGGAGCCAAUUUAAAAAAAAAAAAACAACAACAAAAAAGGUAUGCACUU